This 486-nucleotide ribosomal RNA is filed under the name uncultured bacterium. RNAcentral describes it as "partial 16S ribosomal RNA". It matches the Rfam family "Bacterial small subunit ribosomal RNA", at positions 30 to 507 of the family's 1533-position model. The record is from RNAcentral.
AUUGAACGCUGGCGGCAUGCCUUACACAUGCAAGUCGAACGGCAGCACGGGUGCUUGCACCUGGUGGCGAGUGGCGAACGGGUGAGUAAUACAUCGGAACAUGUCCUGUCGUGGGGGAUAGCCCGGCGAAAGCCGGAUUAAUACCGCAUACGAUCUACGGAUGAAAGCGGGGGCCCUUCGGGUCUCGCGCUAUCGGGUUGGCCGAUGGCUGAUUAGCUAGUUGGUGGGGUAAAGGCCUACCAAGGCGACGAUCAGUAGCUGGUCUGAGAGGACGACCAGCCACACUGGGACUGAGACACGGCCCAGACUCCUACGGGAGGCAGCAGUGGGGAAUUUUGGACAAUGGGCGAAAGCCUGAUCCAGCAAUGCCGCGUGUGUGAAGAAGGCCUUCGGGUUGUAAAGCACUUUUGUCCGGAAAGAAAUCCUUGGCUCUAAUACAGUCGGGGGAUGACGGUACCGGAAGAAUAAGCACCGGCUAACUACGUG